RNAcentral lists this long non-coding RNA (6894 nucleotides) under Capsicum annuum. RNAcentral's name for it is "long non-coding RNA (CANN_LNC021799)". Lineage: Eukaryota; Viridiplantae; Streptophyta; Magnoliopsida; Solanales; Solanaceae. The record is from RNAcentral.
CACCCACCAAUUAUAUAGCGCUUCACAAAGAAGAGGUAAUGUAUCCCAUGACCUGACCUUUUGUCUUUUACAGAAAUUGCAGAAAGAAUAAGACUGGUUGCCAUCCUUUGGAGAUUCUCAGACCUUUUCCUCCUCUUGUUUCAGUUGAAAAAAUACAAGUAGAAAUUGUUCUGUUCAAACUUAAGAGACUUGCAUAAUAAAAUAAACCCAAAAAAAAAGGGGAAAUGCUGGAAUUCUUUUGCUAUUUAAAUCUUGAAAAUACGAUGCGCUAACAAUUUAAUGAUUUUCUUUAGGAGGAUCAAAGUGUAAAUUUCUGAGAGAAGCACUGCUGGAACUUAUUUUAAUCUUGACUAAAAGAGGAAGGCGAACCAAGAUAUUAUUUCAUCGGAAAGCAUGACAAACUUAUUAGUCAUUAACUUCUUUUGUAAAUAGUGCAUAUUUUCUGGUGUUCUCGAUUCAGGGCACUAGCUGAGGAUAGUCGACAUCUUUUAGGUUUGAACUAUGACUAGAAAUGAUCACCUUCACAAGAUGGUUCAAAUGGCACACAACGAGGAUAAAAUGAGAGGACACUUGAGAUGGUUUAGUCAUGUCUUGUAUUGGCCUCUGGAUGCGAGGUAUAAACCAUGGGAUGAAGGUGUUAAAAGAGGACGAGGUAGACCUAGAAUCACACGGAAGGAAGUUGUCCCAAAGGACCUACAAUAUUUGGGGAUUCAUGCAGACUUGGUAAAAGAUAGGACAGAAUGAAAGAAUAGUUGUUAUAUAUUAGUUGAGAAAUGAUUUACAUGUUUGCACUUCUAUUGUAGGUCGUAUGCUUUCUAGGAGUGUAUUAACAUUUUAGAAAUUUAUACCUUUAGAAAACAUACAGGACCUCAAUUUUUUUCGAAUUAAAACACAGUAGCAGUUGUUAUGCCCCUAGGCUCCAGUAAAGGAUUUUUGUGUAACGGAAGAGAUUUCUUAUUCUCUAGUCUAAGCUCUCCAUCUCUUUCUUUCUGGGCAUUAUGAACAUAGGCAUUACUUAUUUUGUUGUUAACUAUGCAUAGUCCACUAGGCCCUCAUAUUUUGGGUCCGGAUGGUGCAUCGUCUCUUUUGUAAUCUCAUUGCAUUUUUCUUUUGGACUCAAUUAUCAUCUAAUUCCUGCUUUUAUUCCUAUGAAAAUGCAAUAGGAUCAAAGUCUCCAAAUACCUGAUAGAAUAUACUCUUUCUUUUGCUUAUACAUUCAUGAGUAGCUUGCACAGUUUAACCCUUUCUUAUGUUUUCAUUUUACAUUUAACUACUUUCUUAUUGGUUUCUGGAAUUCUUAUGAAGAGGUCCCUGAAUGUUUUGAGCAUUCCUCUUAAUUCUUAUCUCAUUUGAAUGGUUAAAAAGAAGAUAAACUUGCUCAGUUACUAACAACUCCUUCAAAAACUUUGAAAUCAUGAAGUGUUCUGCUGCGUAUAACUGAAAGCAGUGAAGUGUAUCCAUUCUACAGCUAUUGCUGAAGAAAGUGAUCAUCCCAUUAUGAUUUGACUCUUUCUUUCCUCUGUUCUUUUUCUCUUAUUAUCGGCUCUUACUCAUUCCAUGGCCAUGUACCCAUGAAUUUCCAUGUCUUUACGCAUUGUUCGUCCAUUUCAUUUUGCACCUUAAAGCAAUAUCGUUUACUUAUCCAGGGAAGAAAAAGAGAGAAAAAGUGAAUAUUUAUAUCAUAAUCUUAUUUCAUCACUGGAUAGACCAUAGAUGAUAGGUACAUAGAAGUAUUAGCAUUUAUUCAUGUAGCACACUUCACUCUCUCACAGACACACACAUAGCACACCUCUCUCUCCCAUAAUCAAAGUACAUAGUUAUUGAACAACAGAAGUUCAUUAGUGGUACAACUUCUGUCUCUUACUUGAUUAUUGCAACUUAUAUCUUCAGCAGCUCUCCCUCUGCAAAAGCAAAAUUACAAUUUAGGCUUCAAGGUAAGUUGGGUAACUAGUAAAGUUGCUAUCUUUAUGAAACUAAGCAUUGUGAAGGGGUUACAUUAACUGAGUCUAGAUCUGUUCCUUUUCACAGUUUGUGAUCAAUUUUGUGAAAUAUUUAACAUUUAAAUCUAAGUUUAUCUUCUCUAUUGUCAGUGUCCGUCAGACUAUGCAGAAGCAAAAAUAGACAAUAGGUUAUAUUAGGUUAUACCUUGUUCCUUCCACAGUUCUCGUUGUCACUCUCAUCGUUGUUGCUGCUGUCACUGCCAUCUCUGCAGUGUCCAUCAAUUUGAGGGGGAUGUUAGCUGAUCACCUAUCUUAUGCAUGAAACUCCCUUCCUUCUUUGAGCCAUGGCACGCAGUCUGCUAGCCAUGGUUAGCAUGACCUCCAUGCAUAACAGUGGAGCCAUGGCCUGCUGAAUAUUGAGUUUUGCCACCAUGGCAUGCAGUCUGCUGGCCAUGGUUAGCAUGACCUCCAUGCAUAGCAGUGGAGCCAUGGCCUGCUGAAUAGAGUUUUUGCGCUAUGGCAUGCAGUCUGCUGCCCAUGGUUAGCAUGACCUCCAUACAUAACAGUGGUGCCAUUGUCAAUUUUCUGCUGAAUGCCUCUCAAUAUUGAGAGUCUUUCCAUUAAAUAAAAAGUAUCAAAGAUUACAUCCCUAAAGAUCCGUCUUCCUAUCCCUAAAGACCAGUUUUUCUAUCCCUCUAAAUCCGCUAUUUUAUCUCACCAAAUCUGCUCUACUAUAGCCACUAUUAUUCUCUUUAAUUACUAAAUCAAAUCUAUGUAAUUACACUAAUAUACAACAAUAUAUAGAUAAAUUAAUAUAUACAAUAUUUACAUCAUGCUAACAUCCCCCCUCAAAUUGAUGCUGGUAGAUCAUGAAGCAUCAAUUUGCCCACUAGAAACUGAUGUCAUCGUCGUGCCAUUGAUUUUGUAAAUGCAUCAGCUAAUUGAAGAUCACUGGACACGUGCGGAAGAGUAAUGACACCUUUAUCUACAACUUCUUGUAUAUAAUGACAGUCUACUUCGAUAUGUUUGGUCCGCUCAUGAUAAACCGGAUUAGUAGCAAUUUGAAUAGCACUUGUAUUGUCAGCAUGGAGAGGAGUAGGAUUAGAUUGAGGAAAUCCAAUCUCAGAAAGUAAUCCACGGAGCCACACAAUCUCGGAGCAAGCAGUAGACAUUGCUCAAUAUUCAGUCUCUGUUGAAAAUUUUGACACGGUCUUGCUUCUUACUCGUCCAAGAUAUCAAAGACUCUCCAAGAAACAUGCACCAAGCUGUAAUCGAAGUCAGAACAUCCUGUCCAAUCAGAAUCACUAAAAGCAUUAAUACGAAUAGGCGAACCACUAGGAAAGAAUAAUCCACGAGUAGAUAUUCCUAGGAGAUAUCGAAUGAUGUGACGGACAACCAUCAAAUGAAGAUGACGGGGAGCUUGCAUGAACUGACUAAUUUGUUGAACUGCAAAAGAGAUAUCAGGCCUGGUAAUAGUAAGGUAAUUUAAGCUCCCAACUAAUUGCCGAAAUAUAGUUGGAUGAGGAAGAAGAUCUCUUUCCUCCCAGCGAUACUUUACAUUCAAUUCUAAUGGAGUAUCUACAUUCAAUUCUAAUGGAGUAUCUACAGAGGAGGAAUCCUGAAGACCUGCCAAAGAAAUCAAAUCUUGGGUAUAUUUGUGUUGAUUUAGAAACACACCAGAUGAAUCACGAUGAACUUCCAAACCCAAGAAAUAUGUAAGAGUAUCAAGAUGUUUCAUAUGAAAAGAAUCCUUAAGUUGCUGUUGCAGGCUAGUGAUUAGUGAAGAAUCAGUUCCUGUAAUAAUAAUGUCAUCUACAUAUACCAAAAAAAGAACACAACUUGUGGAUGUUUUCCGAAGAAACAAAGAUGAGUCAUAUUUGCUAUGCUCAAAAGAGAAUUGUAGCAAAGUAGACCGAAAUUUAUCAAAUCAAGCUCUGGGAGCUUGUUUUAAUCCAUACAAAAACCGCUUCAACUUGCAUACAUCUGAUGUAGGCAAUGAGAACAAACUUGGUGGAGGUUUCAUAUAAAUAUCCUCUUUGAGAUCACCAUGAAGAAAGACAUUUUUGACAUCCAUUUGAUGAAGAGUCCAGUUUUGUGAAGCCCCAAUGGCAAUAAUAGUUCGCACCAUCAUCAUUUUUGCUAUCGGUGCAAAAGUCUUUUCAUAGUUCACACCAUACUCUUGCUUGUUACCAAGAACAACCAACCGAGCUUUGUACCGAUCAAGAGUUCCAUUAGAGUGAAGUUUAAUUGAAUAAACCUAUUUACAUCCAAUUGGAUGGACAUUUGAAUGGCAUGAAACAGUAUCCCAUGUGUCAUUUUCUUUAUGAGCCAAAAGUUCUUCCUCCAUUGUCUUAUGCCAACGUUCAUGCUUGGAAGCUUGUGAGUAACAAGUUGGAAUAGAAAUAGUGGAUAAAGUAGAUGAAAAGCCAUACCAAUUAGGAGUACGAGAUACUCUCGUAGAUCGCCGAGUGGGCUCAAGAGGAGCAGGCCUUGAAGAAUUCUCAGAUUCUAGUUGUGGAGCAGUUUCAGGUGGCGGAUCAAUAUCAGGAGGGGGUAAAGUUGGCCGCCGACGUUCGUACCCAAAUUCAGGUUUGAACCUCUUAGAAGAAGAUGACAAAUCCUCAAAAGUAGGAAGAAGAAGAGAAGCAGGAGAUGACUCAACAUGAGUAGGAAAGAAAUGCUGAUUCUCAAAGAAAACAACAUUUCUAGAAACAUGAAAUUUAUUAGAACAUGGAUCAUAACAGAGAAAACCUUUCUGUGAAGUACUAUAACCCAUAAAAACACAUUUAGUAGACUGAACAGAAAGUUUAUUACGCUGAGAAGGAGGAAGAUGCACAAAACAAAUACAANNNNNNNNNNNNNNNNNNNNNNNNNNNNNNNNNNNNNNNNNNNNNNNNNNNNNNNNNNNNNNNNNNNNNNNNNNNNNNNNNNNNNNNNNNNNNNNNNNNNNNNNNNNNNNNNNNNNNNNNNNNNNNNNNACUCAAUCAAUAAAGUACGAGUGACAUCUAAAAGAUGACAAUUUUUACGUUCAGCAACCCUAUUUUGUUUUGGUGUAUAUGGAUAGGAGCGUUGUGAGACAAUUCCUUUUUCAAGCAAAAAAUUUUUGAACUCAUAAGACAUAUAUUCUCCACUAGAAUCAGAUCUUAAUAAUUUGAUGCAAGUAGAAAAUUGAGUCUCAAUAUAGUCCAAAAAUAUCUUGAAUAUGGAAAAUACCUCAGAUUUGAAACGAAGAAAAUAUACCCACGUAAAUCGACUAUAAUCAUCUAUAAAUGUCACAAAGUACUUAAAAUGAGCAUGAGAAACAAUUGGUGAAAUACCCCAAACAUCACUAUGAAUGACAUCAAAACACUUUGUAGCACGACUACCAAAAUUAGGAAAAGGAAGAAUUUUACUCUUGCCUUAUUUACAAGUAGAAAAGUCAAAGUAAGCAGUGGAAAAUUGAUUUUUGUUCCCCAAUAAACCCGAAUUCGAUAAAUGAGAUAACACAAUAGAAUUUGGAUGUCCUAAGCGCUUAUGUCAUACCUCAGUCUUACUAGGUGUAGAAGUACAAGCAAAUGAUAGAACACGAGGAAUGAAAAAGUGUAUAGGAAACAGUCGUCCAACUUUAGGCCCCUUUGCAAUUAUCGUCCCCGACACUUGAUCCUGCACAAGACAACCAUUACUAGAAAAAUUCACAUCACAAUUGUUAUCUACCAAUUGUCCAACUGAAAUAAGACUAGUGGAGAGAUUUGGUGACACAAAAACAUUGUUGAAAGUUUUAGUAAUAUCUCAAACCUUGGUAAUGGGUAAAUUACUACCAUUGGCAACUUGAAUUUGUGAUGGAUAAUGACUUAUGAACAUUUUUUAGCAUAUUGGAUGAGUUGGUCAUAUGAUUGGAAGCUUCAGAAUCAAUAAGCCAAAAAUUAAAUGCAAGAUCAUUACCUUGUAGCCCUAAAGCUGAAAAAGCUGACAUGAUCAUUUGUCUUACCAUUUUAGGAGUAAGAAUUUGUCCCGAAGAUGAGUUCUUAGUAGUGAAACGAUUUGUCCCAGCUUGAAAAGCAUUAACCUUACGGUUUUGAGGGCGUGUGAGACACUCUUUGAUGUGUCCUUAUUGUUUGCAAUAAUUAUAAAACUUCCUGCCACAAUUGCUAGCAAUAUGAUCAUAUCCCUUGCAACUGUAGCAUUGAGUUCUAGUCAUAUCCUUACCAUUUCCUUUACCUUGGGCAGCAAAUGCAACAACAAUAUCAUCAACCUGCUUGAAAGCAUUUUGUGUGACAAAACGCUGCUCUUCACGGAGUAAUUCCCUAAAACAAACAUCCAAGGAGGGAGACGGGUCAUGAUUUAUCAAGUGGGAGCGAACAUUCUCAAAAUCAAAACGUAACUUCAUCAAAAAUUGAUCUAGCUUGCUUUGCUCAUGGACUUGUUGAAUUACAGAGAGAGAUUCCGCAGGUAUUUUGGCAUAAACAAUAUUUGUAAAUUCAGCACAUAAGUUCUAAAAUCCAGAAAAAUAAUCCUAAACAGAAAGACCUCCUUGAGAGUAAUUAGUAAUUUCAUACUCUAAGUGAAAGCAUCGGGCACUAUUAUUUUGGUUGUAAGCCGUUUGUAAAUAACCCCACAUGGCUUUAGCUGUCUUAUAAGGCCUGAGAUUAAGAACAAUAAGAGAGUCAAUUGACCCUAAAAGCCAUGUCAUCAUCCGAGCAUCUUUAAUCUUUCAUUCACCUAACUUUGUAGGAUCAGUAGGAGCAGGAUCGGCUCCAUCUAUAUGGCCCCAUAGUUCUUUUCCAGUGACAAAUAACUGAAACUGAAACUCAUUUAGUACAUUGAAUCUAGUCUACCAACGUAAAGACAAUUGUUGUCCUUCAUAUCUCCAAAAACCUGUAUGAGGUUUUGAAAUACGUUAACAAUGUAGAAAUUUUUUAAUACUGUCAGUGUAUAUAAGACUAUAAGUUUAAUCCGUAAAGAUAAUAAAUUGAAG